CUCAUCACUAGUUGUUUUCCUUGGAAGUGGAGCAAAGCCACCAAAAAAGCUCCAAAAUUCUCCAGUUUCAGGAUCGGCCAUCAACUUUCCAUCCUCUACAAAAAGACGAGUUCGAACCGUUGAAUUGGAAAAUUUUGGACUUGGUAUCGAGAAUAAAAAUGUCAUCGUGGUUGAGUGAAGAUCGACUGAAAGGAACCUAUCAUCACAAUUCCAGAAAACUCAGCAAGCAUUCAUAAAAA
This is a non-coding RNA of Cucurbita pepo subsp. pepo (vegetable marrow), 239 nucleotides long. The record is from RefSeq and is a predicted model, not a curated record. Lineage: Eukaryota; Viridiplantae; Streptophyta; Magnoliopsida; Cucurbitales; Cucurbitaceae.